Molecule: ribosomal RNA, 253 nt
Filed under: uncultured bacterium
Lineage: Bacteria
Description: partial 16S ribosomal RNA
Rfam family: Bacterial small subunit ribosomal RNA
Source: RNAcentral
UACGUAGGGUGCAGGCGUUAAUCGGAAUUACUGGGCGUAAAGCGUGCGCAGGCGGUUUGCUAAGACAGGUGUGAAAUCCCCGGGCUUAACCUGGGAACUGCGCUUGUUACUGGCAGGCUUGAGUGUGGCAGAGGGGGGUGGAAUUCCACGUGUAGCAGUGAAAUGCGUAGAGAUGUGGAGGAACACCAGUGGCGAAGGCGACUCUUUGGCCUGUAACUGACACUGAGGCGCGAAAGCGUGGGGAGCAAACAGG